This is a non-coding RNA of Danio rerio (zebrafish), 352 nucleotides long. Lineage: Eukaryota; Metazoa; Chordata; Actinopteri; Cypriniformes; Danionidae. The record is from RefSeq and is a predicted model, not a curated record.
UUGUCUAUGGAGUGAUCAUGUUUAUAAAUGUAAUACUGCAAGACUUUAAUGUGCGCGCGCGCGUCUUGCUUCCAACACUGGAGCGGAGAGGAUGUUGCUAUGGGAAACGAAGCUACAACACGACACGACGCCACCAGAAAGAUACAACACGACUUCUCUCAAGCUGCCGUUUUGACUGUUUUCAGGCAAAACCGGAGCACCCAGAGAAAACCCACCAAACGCAGAGAGAAUUUGCAAACUACACACAGAAAUGCCUGCUGAUCCAGCUGCGGCUCGAGUCAGCAUCCUUGCUUAUUGGAUGCCUGAUUGCAGUUCAACUCCAAACUCAGUUGGACCAGCUGAUCAGUGUCUU